AGUAAUGCGUGACCAGCCUGCCCCAUGCUCCAGAAUAGCUCUUGGAAACGGGUGGUAAUGCUGGAUGCUCCAACUUGACGCAUGUCUUGUUGGGAAAGUGUUUAGUGGCAUGGGAUGGGGUCGCGUCCUAUCAGCUUGUAGGCGGGGUAAUGGCCCACCUAGGCUUCGACGGGUAGCCGGCCUGAGAGGGCGGACGGCCACAUUGGGACUGAGAUACGGCCCAGACUCCUACGGGAGGCAGCAGAC
This 246-nucleotide ribosomal RNA is filed under the name uncultured Gardnerella sp. RNAcentral's name for it is "partial 16S ribosomal RNA". It matches the Rfam family "Bacterial small subunit ribosomal RNA", at positions 109 to 354 of the family's 1533-position model. The record is from RNAcentral. Lineage: Bacteria; Bacillati; Actinomycetota; Actinomycetes; Bifidobacteriales; Bifidobacteriaceae.